UUACGGCCAUAUCAUGUUAAAAUACUAGUUCUUGUACAAUCACCGAAGUUAAGCAAUAUUGAGUCUGGUCAGUGCCUAGAUGGGUGACCACUUGGGAAUACCAGGUGCUAUA
Molecule: non-coding RNA, 112 nt
Organism: Acanthosepion pharaonis
Lineage: Eukaryota; Metazoa; Mollusca; Cephalopoda; Sepiida; Sepiidae
Source: the annotation of a GenBank genome assembly